GACGAACGCUGGCGGCGUGCCUAAUACAUGCAAGUCGAACGAACUCUGGUAUUGAUUGGUGCUUGCAUCAUGAUUUACAUUUGAGUGAGUGGCGAACUGGUGAGUAACACGUGGGAAACCUGCCCAGAAGCGGGGGAUAACACCUGGAAACAGAUGCUAAUACCGCAUAACAACUUGGACCGCAUGGUCCGAGCUUGAAAGAUGGCUUCAGCUAUCACUUUUGGAUGGUCCCGCGGCGUAUUAGCUAGAUGGUGGGGUAACGGCUCACCAUGGCAAUGAUACGUAGCCGACCUGAGAGGGUAAUCGGCCACAUUGGGACUGAGACACGGCCCAAACUCCUACGGGAGGCAGCAGUAGGGAAUCUUCCACAAUGGACGAAAGUCUGAUGGAGCAACGCCGCGUGAGUGAAGAAGGGUUUCGGCUCGUAAAACUCUGUUGUUAAAGAAGAACAUAUCUGAGAGUAACUGUUCAGGUAUUGACGGUAUUUAACCAGAAAGCCACGGCUAACUACGUGCCAGCAGCCGCGGUAAUACGUAGGUGGCAAGCGUUGUCCGGAUUUAUUGGGCGUAAAGCGAGCGCAGGCGGUUUUUUAAGUCUGAUGUGAAAGCCUUCGGCUCAACCGAAGAAGUGCAACGGAAACUGGGAGACUUGAGUGCAGAAGAGGACAGUGGAAACUCCAUGUGUAGCGGUGAAAUGCGUAGAUAUAUGGAAGAACACCAGUGGCGAAGGCGGCUGUCUGGUCUGUAACUGACGCUGAGGCUCGAAAGUAUGGGUAGCAAACAGGAUUAGAUACCCUGGUAGUCCAUACCGUAAACGAUGAAUGCUAAGUGUUGGAGGGUUUCCGCCUUUCAGUGCUGCAGCUAACGCAUUAAGCAUUCCGCCUGGGGAGUACGCCCGCAAGGCUGAAACUCAAAGGAAUUGACGGGGGCCCGCACAAGCGGUGGAGCAUGUGGUUUAAUUCGAAGCUACGCGAAGAACCUUACCAGGUCUUGACAUACUAUGCAAAUCUAAGAGAUUAGACGUUCCCUUCGGGGACAUGGAUACAGGUGGUGCAUGGUUGUCGUCAGCUCGUGUCGUGAGAUGUUGGGUUAAGUCCCGCAACGAGCGCAACCCUUAUUAUCAGUUGCCAGCAUUAAGUUGGGCACUCUGGUGAGACUGCCGGUGACAAACCGGAGGAAGGUGGGGAUGACGUCAAAUCAUCAUGCCCCUUAUGACCUGGGCUACACACGUGCUACAAUGGAUGGUACAACGAGUUGCGAACUCGCGAGAGUAAGCUAAUCUCUUAAAGCCAUUCUCAGUUCGGAUUGUAGGCUGCAACUCGCCUACAUGAAGUCGGAAUCGCUAGUAAUCGCGGAUCAGCAUGCCGCGGUGAAUACGUUCCCGGGCCUUGUACACACCGCCCGUCACACCAUGAGAGUUUGUAACACCCAAAGUCGGUGGGGUAACCUUUUAGGAACCAGCCGCCUAAGGUGGGACAGAUGAUUAGGGUG
This 1490-nucleotide ribosomal RNA is filed under the name Lactiplantibacillus plantarum. Its description in RNAcentral is "bacterial SSU rRNA". It matches the Rfam family "Bacterial small subunit ribosomal RNA". Lineage: Bacteria; Bacillati; Bacillota; Bacilli; Lactobacillales; Lactobacillaceae. The record is from RNAcentral.